RNAcentral lists this unclassified non-coding RNA (343 nucleotides) under soil metagenome. RNAcentral's name for it is "partial contains 5.8S ribosomal RNA, internal transcribed spacer 2, and large subunit ribosomal RNA". The stretch from base 1 to 120 matches the Rfam family "5.8S ribosomal RNA", at positions 35 to 154 of the family's 154-position model. The record is from RNAcentral.
GAUGAAGAACGCAGCGAAAUGCGAUACGUAAUGUGAAUUGCAGAAUUCAGUGAAUCAUCGAGUCUUUGAACGCACAUUGCGCCCCCUGGUAUUCUGGCGGGCAUGCCUGUCCGAGCGUCAUUUCAACCCUCAAGCCCCCGGGCUUGGUGUUGGGGAUCGGCGAGCCUCCGCGCCCGCCGUCCCCUAAAUCUAGUGGCGGUCUCGCUGUAGCUUCCUCUGCGUAGUAGCACACCUCGCACUGGGAAACAGCGCGGCCACGCCGUUAAACCCCCAACUUCUGAACGUUUGACCUCGGAUCAGGUAGGAAUACCCGCUGAACUUAAGCAUAUCAAUAAGCGGAGGA